RNAcentral lists this ribosomal RNA (497 nucleotides) under uncultured bacterium. RNAcentral's name for it is "partial 16S ribosomal RNA". It matches the Rfam family "Bacterial small subunit ribosomal RNA", at positions 28 to 507 of the family's 1533-position model. The record is from RNAcentral.
GAUGAACGCUGGCGGCGUGCCUAAUACAUGCAAGUCGAGCGAACAGAUGAGGAGCUUGCUCCUCUGACGUUAGCGGCGGACGGGUGAGUAACACGUGGAUAACCUACCUAUAAGACUGGGAUAAUUUCGGGAAACCGGAGCUAAUACCGGAUAAUAUAUUGAACCGCAUGGUUCAAUAGUGAAAGACGGUUUUGCUGUCACUUAUAGAUGGAUCCGCGCCGCAUUAGCUAGUUGGUAAGGUAACGGCUUACCAAGGCAACGAUGCGUAGCCGACCUGAGAGGGUGAUCGGCCACACGGGAACUGAGACACGGUCCAGACUCCUACGGGAGGCAGCAGUAGGGAAUCUUCCGCAAUGGGGGAAAGCCUGACGGAGCAACGCCGCGUGAGUGAUGAAGGUCUUCGGAUCGUAAAACUCUGUUAUUAGGGAAGAACAAAUGUGUAAGUAACUAUGCACGUCUUGACGGUACCUAAUCAGAAAGCCACGGCUAACUACGUG